UACGUAGGGUGCAAGCGUUGUCCGGAAUUAUUGGGCGUAAAGAGCUCGUAGGCGGCCGGUUGCGUCUGCUGUGAAAUCCCGGGGCUUAACCCCGGGCGUGCAGUGGAUACGGGCCGGCUGGAGGCAGGCAGGGGAGAAUGGAAUUCCCGGUGUAGCGGUGAAAUGCGCAGAUAUCGGGAGGAACACCGGUGGCGAAGGCGGUUCUCUGGGCCUGUACUGACGCUGAGGAGCGAAAGCGUGGGGAGCGAACAGG
Molecule: ribosomal RNA, 253 nt
Filed under: uncultured bacterium
Lineage: Bacteria
Description: partial 16S ribosomal RNA
Rfam family: Bacterial small subunit ribosomal RNA
Source: RNAcentral